RNAcentral lists this long non-coding RNA (405 nucleotides) under Elaeis guineensis (African oil palm). RNAcentral describes it as "long non-coding RNA (EGUI_LNC039490)". Lineage: Eukaryota; Viridiplantae; Streptophyta; Magnoliopsida; Arecales; Arecaceae. The record is from RNAcentral.
GGGUAUUCUAUGAUCAUUUUGGUCAAGGGGAUGAAUUAUAUGAAAACUAUAUCCACAUGGGUUCUAAGGAUGUUGUUCUACAUAUUCGACCUAUCCGGUCGUCGGGUACCAUUGCUAGAUGGUCACUUCGAUUGGUACAGAAAUUUAUUUUUAUGCUAUCAGCUUAGGUUCAGAUCUAUGAGGUCACACAUAUUAGAGUUCAUGAUCCGAUCGGAUGGUUGAUCAACGAUUAAGAAUCGUUCUAGGGUUAAAUGAUCAAUACGAUUGACAUUUAACCCAGUGCAAGUGUUGCAGGAGAAUUGAUUAGCAAUUUGAUUGCUAAUUGGCUUAAUUUGAUUAAGCCAAUGAGCUGAGAUUAAGUCUAAUUAAAUAUAAUUUAAUUAGAUUUGGUUUGGGCUUGAUUGG